Molecule: ribosomal RNA, 473 nt
Filed under: Desulfovibrio sp. enrichment culture clone NkiSA1
Lineage: Bacteria; Pseudomonadati; Thermodesulfobacteriota; Desulfovibrionia; Desulfovibrionales; Desulfovibrionaceae
Description: bacterial SSU rRNA
Rfam family: Bacterial small subunit ribosomal RNA
Source: RNAcentral
CCUGGCUCAGAUUGAACGCUGGCGGCGUGCUUAACACAUGCAAGUCGAGCGAGAAAGCUCUCUUCGGAGAGUGAGUAGAGCGGCGCACGGGUGAGUAACGCGUGGAUAAUCUGCCCUGAAGAUCGGGAUAACAGUUGGAAACGGCUGCUAAUACCGUAUAAUCUGCAUAUUUAACUCUAUGUGGGAAAGAUGGCCUCUAUUUAUACGCUAUCGCUUUUGGAUGAGUCCGCGUCUCAUUAGCUUGUUGGUGGGGUAAUGGCCUACCAAGGCAACGAUGAGUAGCUGGUCUGAGAGGAUGAUCAGCCACACUGGGACUGAAACACGGCCCAGACUCCUACGGGAGGCAGCAGUGGGGAAUAUUGCGCAAUGGGGGAAACCCUGACGCAGCGACGCCGCGUGUAGGAAGAAGGCCUUCGGGUCGUAAACUACUGUCAAGAGGGAAGAAACCGUAGAGCAUUAAUACGGCUCUACGA